GAGACAACACCGGUGACCUGAAGCAAAUGAAGAAAUUUUCAUGGGAAUUUGCGUGUUUACAUUGUUUUUAUGAUUUCUUGUGUUGCAUUUUCCGAGUCAAUAAAAGAAAAAUGUCGGUCAUUUCGUUUGAAAUCACUCAACUGGCUAAGGCCUGCACGACCAAGCUGCUUUUGAAACCUUUGUCUCUCACGUGAACUCGAUAAUUUCCCUUGCUUCCACUUCCAGCUUGUAUUUAUAUCGUUUUUAAUCUGUCUAUUCUAAGCUGUCCUCUCAUCGACCUACGUGGUUGGGUUUCUCUCAAUUUUUUUUUUUCCCCUCCUCCGGGCGCCAAAAAAAUAAAAAAUGAAAAAAGAAAAAAACAAACUGGCCUUCUGUCUUGUUUCUGCAAAGCCAGCCAAGUCUCCAUUAACAGGUCCUUUUUACCAAUCCUUUAAUAUGCGGAGAUAUGCCAAGAAAGCUUGAAUUGUGUUUGAGUGUCUAUCGUCGGUUUUUUUUUUUUUUUUGGAUCUUUUUGGUGUUAGUAGUUAUCGGGAAGUUUCAAGCCAGGUAUAUUAGUUGGAAUGUUGUUACGUCAAUUGGCUUGGCUUUGUUCAUCUUGCUGGUUGUCAUAUCCGACUAAAAAGAAGGUACUGCGCAAGAAAUCUGAUUUGUAAUUCUGCAGAAGGAAUUUGGAAUUGCGAAUUGGAAGUUCAUACCAUCUUCUGUAGUGAAAUUUGGGUGUUUUCUGUUUUGUUGGUAAUAACUUUGGAGGCUGAAGAAGCUUAAGAACCUCCAGAAGAAGAAUUAGCAUGAUCGGUACCAGAUGGACACGUGUCCGGAGCAAAGUCCUGACUAAUCCUAAGGGUGCACAGACUUUUGGCAAGAAAUUUCUUGCAAGUGCACCACGGCUCUUAUGGUUCUUGCCAAUCCAAUGGCUCCUAUAAAUUAUUUGCGCCCAAGGAUUCAAAUCUUAGACUUUUGGAGGGAGGAUACCACCAAGACCAAAGCUCUUACCAGUUGAUCCAACUCCUAGCUAAUUCUGCAUGAGUGUGGUAAAAAACAUAUUGUAUUUAUUUAUUUUUAUCAAUUAUCUAAGGUGAAUUUAAGUUUAAAAGUUCACCUAUAGGUUAAGAAAGGCAGAGCUGAAUGCCAAUGAAAGUUUCCUGGAAGUAGUGAGUGGGUUAUCACAUUGCUGAGCUGAACAUUUAGGCCUGGCUUUAGAGUCUAAGAUGUUGAGAUGUUGAUGACUUGUAAUAUAGCUAAUUCUGACCUGAAACUGGACUAGUUAAAUGGAUUCCAGUAAAUGAUAUUGUGAACGAAUGGCGAAAAAAGGCCCUCAUUGAUGAACUAAUCAUACGAUUGACAUAAUCUCAUAUAUGCAUAUAUCAGAUUGUGGCAUAUAUUUUCUGGGGGAGAAUUUAGCUCUAUAUACAAUUGAAGAAAAGGGAUAUAAUCAACUAUUUCAUUAUCACUUGCCCUUUUUUUUUUUUCAAUUUUUUCUUCCAAGAAAAUAAAAUUUCAGCAGUGAAGAUGAACUUCAAGGCAAUGAUCCACGGUAAGGAGACAAAACCAAAUCAAGGAAAACAAGAAUGGGGCCAGAUAUUGGCAUCCUGGAAAGACUUCAAGGGACAUUCCAGACAUUUCAUGCACCUGAAACCAACUUUGGAAAGUAAAACUAACAACCCCAUCUGUGUCGGCAGUUUUAUUUACAGCAUUUACCACUUUUGAAUUUGAAGUCUGGUAAUUAAAGUUAUAAAUAAGACUUGGACAGUAAGAUUUCCGUAUUGACUUGAGGCCGCUUCCACUUUUCUGGUGAUUCCACGAUCCUGUAGCUGUCCCUCUUUAUGCAACUGAGCCGUGCUUUCUUUUGGAUUGAGUCAUAUCAAGGAUGAAGUAAUAUUUGGAGUUGUAUGUAACAUUUUAUCAGGGACGAGUUAGUCUUGCCUGAAUUAUUCAAGGGAAUAUUUCUGCAUGAUUCUAUUUUGUCUCCAUCAAUCAAGUUGUGGGGUGUUGGACAAAGAUGUUGUGUUUCAUUAGAUUCUAGAAAUGAGACAUCACUUAAUGGGGGAAUUGACAUUUACUGUCUUGGUGGAGUUGCCAAUCAUCUCUACCACACAUAAGCCAUGUGAUAUCUUAGAUUAUUGUUUACAGCUUAUAUAGAGUGUGGCAUAAAUGAAGCUUAAACCUUGCGUCAUCAGAUACCCAUUAGACACAGAUAUUGGUGAAAAGUCCUACUAUUGGAAAGUUGAAUUACGGUCCACAAACUCUCAUUGCUCAAACUUCUGCAACCAUUAGACUUCAUAUUUCAUUUCCUGGCAAAUAUAAUAUUUGGAUCUUCAUUGGAGGUGGUCUAGAUCAUUUUGAAAAUUUUAUUUUGCUUAUGCUCGGUACAGCAAAUGGUCAUCAAUUUGAAUAUAGAAUGUUGGUGAUCUGUGGGCCAUUUCUGUUGAAGCUAGAUUAUGAUUCUGCCUAAACUUUGAAAGGUGACAUGAUUCACAGAGGUUUCCCUAAGAUGAAAUAACAUUAGUUUUUUCAAUUUUGUAUAUAAAGCAUUACUUUUUUCUUAUCUUCUUUAAAAAAUGGAACUCUUUUUCAUACCCAGAGGAGUGGGUAUUUUGCUAAUGGAUAUUGUUGUUUACAAUUAUUGUAACUAUCAGCUUUUUCUUUCUUCUUGUGGUUUUUCUUUUCUCUUGUUCACUUGAUGUUAAUAAUUUCCUCUAGACUUAGGCUGGCUCCUUCCCCACAGAAGAAUAAUUAAUAAUAAUGAAUAAAGAAACUCCUAAGGAGAUCCAAACAGUUCAUUGAAGUAUGACCACCCCAGGACAAUGAUGGGAUACCCAGGUUAAUGAGAGAUGGGUCUAGUUCUGUAGAUGAUUCCAUUGGUAAUAGUCAUGACUAUAAAUGCAUUUAUUUUGUUUUUCCUUUGUGUUCUUCCGCUUUUCCAGGCAUUGACAUAUGGUCAUUUGAAUAGCAUCAUAUGGUCUAAGUCUUUCCUUCCUAGUCUAAGAUCACUUGCUCAGAUUUAGAUCACUUGAUCAGAUUUAUAUGGAGAAGCAUAUUGAUUGGUGACAUAAUGCUUACGUCAUUUUCAGUGACUGUUUGACAUAAAAUUUCUGCAAUUAAUUACCAUUUCAAUUAUUCUUUGGUGAGAUGCUGACAAGUUCCUUUUGUUUCUCUUUUCCUGAUUCCUGAGGCCAUAUUCUUCUCAUCUUCUUUCCCUGCUUUUGGAUUCGUGAGAUCUCAUCUAAUGGGUCCCCUUAAAGAAUAAUAAUUGAUGAGGCAACUUUGUUUAAAUGACUUUGGAUUCACUGGACCUUCUCCUACUGACCUAAAAAUACCAGGGGCCAUUUUGCAUCAUCCCAGAAUCACCUUUACCUGUUAUGGAAUAUAUUAAAGUGAGAAAGUAGCUUCAAGUACAGCAGCUGGUUAAAGAGAAAGAAGAUCAAGUAGAUGCUUGCUCAGGAAGAGCCACACCCCGCGGGCACCCCCCCCAUAUAGCAUUAAACUGGACCCACCUCUUGUUUGAAUAACCUUACAAUUUGUGUUUUUUCCGAGAAAAUGGUGAUGGUAACAGUUUUGAUCAAGGGACUUUGUCAAUCUGUGCUGCUGACUGUUAUGUUUCUUGACAGUUUACUAACAUGUGACCUGUCAGCCUAUUUGGAUAAUUGUAAUAACAACAUACCCAAAUACUCAGAAAACCAUUUUUACUUGUCUUCCAGUUUUGUUCAUUAAUUAAAAGCGUGUCUCUCAUCUAGUUUCCUGGUUAAUUUCUCUUUGGUAUCUAAAAUUUCUGAGUUUUGAAUCCUGGGAAAUUUUUAUCAAUG
This is a long non-coding RNA of Carya illinoinensis, 3803 nucleotides long. RefSeq lists it as uncharacterized. The transcript is spliced from 4 exons. The record is from RefSeq and is a predicted model, not a curated record. NCBI's taxonomy places the organism in Eukaryota, Viridiplantae, Streptophyta, Magnoliopsida, Fagales, Juglandaceae.